RNAcentral lists this long non-coding RNA (1546 nucleotides) under Capra hircus (goat). Its description in RNAcentral is "lncRNA (ENSCHIG00010002972.1)". The record is from RNAcentral. Lineage: Eukaryota; Metazoa; Chordata; Mammalia; Artiodactyla; Bovidae.
GGGGGGCUGCGGGAUCUCUGCCCCCACCCCUCCCGCCUCGGUCCCGGGAGUCUCUAGACCCCACCGUCCAGACGCCCCCCUUAGGCUCCCGCACCGAGCCCCAGUCCAGGAGCGGCGCUCAGUGGCCCCCAAUAGAGCCCAGCCCCUUCCAGCGCUCAAACUCUUUUGUUUUAAAUGAACUGGAUGGAGCAGCAUGGAACUGACGGGAGGGGGGCGCGCCGGGGGCGCCCGGGGCAUGCCGGGAGUUGUAGUUCCCGCCCUCGGGGGCGCGGGGACGAAUUCCUUGACCCGAGGAAGACAGGGAUGUGCCUUCGGUCUUUACGCUCUGCUGGGAGGCGAAGCCGGGGGUGGGAAGGCAGUCGAGGUCCCUCAUUUUUAAAGAGGAAAGGAGUCAGUGUACAGAAACGGAACGGGUUGAAAACAGGCUAAUGGAGUGUGCCCCCCUCCCAAAACGGGCUCCUUCGCGAUCCCGGCCAGUCUUAGGUCCCUCUUUCUUAUGGUAAUGAGGCGGGGGGAGAGGGCGGGGAGCUGUCCCGGCUGGGCCACUGCGGCUUUCUCUGGCUUUCUCUCUCCUCUUCCCCCUCCCUGCCGCGCUCCCUCUCCGCUCUCCGCUCCCCCCUCCCGUUCUCCCAGAGUCGAUCCCGGCUCCGGGCCGCGGGCAGAGGUUCUCCGCAGAGCAGACAAAGCCCGCAGCGGCGAUGCGUGGAGAACACGGCUCUGCGCGCUGGGGGGAGGGGGUGGGGGGCCGGGAUGGGGUGCCGGGUUGGAGGGUGGGACCCCCUGGCAAAAGACGGGGUCCCCUCUUCCCCAAGCGGCAAGCCAUCCCCCUUCCUCCCUUCCCUCCCCCCAGUCUCGGAGAUCAGAGAAGCACCGACUGGGAGGGUGGACCCAUGGGGCCUGCAGUCACUCUGGCCGACCCUUCGACCCUCAAGAACCUCCAUCAGCGCCAGGGAGCCUGGGCCCGGAACUGCCUCUCUGCCCCAGCAGCACCCUCUUGGUGCCCUUCCCUCCCCUUCCUGUGCCCCAAUUUCCAGAGGGUCUGAACCCACUGACCCCCAAAGAGAAGCCCUGCAGAGCAGAGACCUCACCCUGAGAAGCCUGCACCCCCUGGACAUCUUGACUCCAUCCUUCAGCAUCCUUUGCCUCACUGUAUCCUGACUGCUUGGACCAUCCUUCUCUCCAGCCUCCACUGAACAACAGAUUGGGAAGGGGAAUUUCACAAGGUUUGAGUGGCAGAGAUGUCCUAGGGUAGGCAGAAGGCCUGGCAGCCCCGGGAUGAACUUGCCCCUAGCCCAGCCCUCUGUCCUCUUACCAGCUUGGGGUUUGGUGGGGGCGGGGGGGUGGACAUUGGUAGGGGUGAUUCCAGGAUAUGUGUGCUUGAAGGGAUGUGGCCACGCCUGUGUGGUGGGGGUGGAGGGCUGAGGAGAACAGUGUGGCUCACCCUCUCUUUUGUGAGGAUGGGAGGAGCCUGGAAAGCCCUCUAGCUACUGGCUUUCCUCCUCCUUCCUCCUUACUUAGCAACUGUUGCCUGGUAAAUAUUUGCCCC